CGAAAUGGCCCACCCUGGAUGAGUUCC
RNAcentral lists this non-coding RNA (27 nucleotides) under Mus musculus (house mouse). The record is from RNAcentral. Lineage: Eukaryota; Metazoa; Chordata; Mammalia; Rodentia; Muridae.